GUUUGGUUAGGGUUUGGUUAGGACUUGGUUUAGGAUUUGAUUUAGGGUUUGGAUUAGGAUUUGAUUUAGGAUUAGGAUUUAGGAUUUGGUUUAGGAUUUGGUUAUAAUUUGGUUUAGAAUUUGGUUGGGAUUUGGUUUAAGGUUUGUUUGGGGUUUGAUUUAGGGUUUAGGAUUUCAUUAGGAUUUAAGAUUUAAUUAGUUUUGGCCUAAAGUUUGAAUGAAGUUCAAUAGGAUUUUAACUAGAAUUAAAUUAAGAUUGAAUUGAGAUGUAUUUGAGUGACAUUUGUAUUCUUUCUAAUGUUUCUUUAAAAAUUCCUAUUGUUUGUUUGAAAUUUCUUUGAGGUUUUUUUUAAAUUUGAUUAAGCUUGCUUAGCAUUAUUAUAGUGUAAUUAGAGUAUUGUUAGUAUUCUAUUAGAAUUAGGAUUUUGUUAUUGCAAUUUCCAUUCUUCCUUCCACA
Molecule: long non-coding RNA, 457 nt
Filed under: Physcomitrium patens
Lineage: Eukaryota; Viridiplantae; Streptophyta; Bryopsida; Funariales; Funariaceae
Description: long non-coding RNA (PPAT_LNC004681)
Source: RNAcentral